This 253-nucleotide ribosomal RNA is filed under the name uncultured bacterium. Its description in RNAcentral is "partial 16S ribosomal RNA". It matches the Rfam family "Bacterial small subunit ribosomal RNA", at positions 524 to 776 of the family's 1533-position model. The record is from RNAcentral.
UACGAGGGGUGCAAGCGUUAUUCGGAAUAACUGGGCGUAAAGGGUGUGUAGACGGCUUGUUAAGUUCGUUGUUAAAUCUUCCGGCCUAACCGGAAAACUGCAAUGAAAACUGGCAUGCUAGAGGAUGAGAGAGAGGAGUGGAAUUCCCGGAGUAGCGGUAAAAUGCGUAGAUCUCGGGAGGAACACCAAUGGCGAAGGCAGCUCCUUGGCUCAUUUCUGACGUUGAGACACGAAAGCGUGGGUAGCAAACAGG